CUGGAAAAAAAAUUUUGACACAGGUGCGGCUAAGCAAGGCUAGUGUUUGUUUUGCUUUUCCACUAUCUUCUUUUUUGAGUUUGGUGGUACAAUAGGCAUCUAACCCUGAGGUUGGCUUCUUGAUGCUUUGUUACAAGCUAUAAGCCUAACCUCUUUUUUGUUGUUUUAUAUCUUUUCCUUGCUCCAUUUGCUAGCAAGCAUUGGGAUUCUCCUUUCUUCUGAUCC
Molecule: long non-coding RNA, 225 nt
Filed under: Elaeis guineensis (African oil palm)
Lineage: Eukaryota; Viridiplantae; Streptophyta; Magnoliopsida; Arecales; Arecaceae
Description: long non-coding RNA (EGUI_LNC073617)
Source: RNAcentral